GUCUCAGUUUGCUCUUUGAGAAGUUGGCCUAAGAUCCCUUUCUACCUGACAGAGUAGGCCUAUGAGCUGUGGGGUUUGGAUGCCCUCAGGCCUUGGUGCUGUGAUGUGUGUGCAUUUACACAAGGUGGCAGGGCAUCCAGCUGCAGCAUGCCAAGUGCUCCAAGUGCUCCAUUUAGAAUUCAGGGUCUCAGCACUGGAGCUCCCACUGCAUUUCCUACCUGUGGCAUCGGGUAGGUAUCCAAAGUCCUUCCCCAACAGUCCUUCUCCACAGCUUUUAAAGUUCUGAGAAGAGAACGGAAGUCAGCAGGACAGUCAGAAAUGCCAGCAGAGACCUGAGCUUAAGAGCCCAGUCCUGUGGGAGGAGCUUCCAUGUGCCAGGUGUGCCUGGAAGAACAGAGUGUGCUAUAUACCAGGGUCCCAAGACCAUUGUAGGAUACAAAACAAAAGAAAGCAAUCCUCCCACAAACAAAAAACCGCACACACACAAACAUACAAGGAUUCAGUGUGGAACAGAAGUCAUGAUGAUGAUUUACUUUGCAAAGGUAACCCAAGAAUGUCCCAAAAGUGGAAAGGCAGGUGGUGCAAAGUUAGGGGUACCAGGUGCAAGAAUCACUCGGGGUACACCCAGCUCUUCAAGGACUGAAGGUGCCUUUUCCUAGCCAACCCGCCUAAGUUUCUCAAGUGGAAGGUUAUGGUUCAAAAUGAGCCCCUGGUUUACUAGGCACCCUGGUCUACAGUGGCUGCCGCAGGAGCACAGCUCACUAUGUAACAGCUCAUGAUACACAGCUACCAGUAGUGUGCAAAGAGAGAAUGUUUACCCUUGUAGGUCCUGAUUGUCACAAGGUCCCCUACUGGUGACCAGAGUACAUCAGCUAUCAACUUUCAGCUUUCCUGGGCCACUGUAGUCAUUGCUGUUGUGUGGGCACAUGGGCUAGGGCCCGAGAAAGGGAUAAGGUUGUGGGUAGAUAGGACUUGCACUCCUCCUGCACAGGAAGGACCUUUAAGCCAAACAGUGGGGUUAUUCCAGUGGUCCAGGAAAAUGACCUGAGCUUCACACUCUCAAAAUGUCAACAAAUUGACCUGUGCAUUUUACAUAAUCCUUAUACAAGGCAUUUUUAUUUUUAAAUGUUACUGGCUUGGCUGAGAUUUCCUGUUUCCAGCUGACAACAUUAAGUCUCUUAUAGUCCUGGGGUUUAAUGGACUGAUAAUAGGGUUCACACAUGAAUCUUGCUUGUGCAUGCAAUGUCUCUUCCUUAACUUGACCCAGAUUGUGAUCAUGUUCUCCUUUUGAGGAAAUUCAACACAGGUCAUUAUCGAGAAGCCCCCUGCUUACUUGGAGUCUCUAAGGACUAGGCAGCUCCUGUGAUGUGGCGGCAGUGAGGACGUCCCUCUCCCUUCCAGUGACUGAAACUGGCUUUGGCCUGAUCUUGUCACUAUAGAUCCACCUCAGAGAUUCUGCCCCCGGAACAAAAUGCCACUCUUCCCAUUCAGCAGCCCCUAUUCCCAUCAGCACAGAGAUCAACAGUUCAUUGGUAUUUCAACUCCGCACUGCAGGGAGAAGCCAGGUUUCUGAGACAGUGGAUCCUCCCUUCUGACCACCCACUCACUUACCCUUCCUGGGAAAAUUUCUUCUUCACUCAGGUGGAGGGAGAAUCCAUCAGUCAGCAAGGUUCAAAAACUGCACAGGCUGCCUGAGGGUGUCCAGAUGGAAUUAAACCCGCUGUAGACUAAAUGAAGCAGAGUCUGGGAAUGUUUCUGAGAAGCGGUCUUGGCCAAGGAACGAACUCUGUUUAGUCUACCCUCGCUCCUGGAGAUAUUUUAAAAAGUGAGGUGGGAGCUUGCAGUAUGAGAGGCUCUGAAAGUCCUCGUGUCAUCUCUGUGCUGAUGGCAGUAGGUGUGUGUGGGAGGGCCCUGCAGGGAGAGGGACCUUCCGCUCAGGGUUGGGUGGGAUGCCUGCUCUUGGCAUCAAGGGGAAAAAUGGGGCCGAACCGUGACCCUAUCAUCAAUAACCAGGGCCCCUUUAAGCAUGGGUUGGGAUGAAGCAGUUUCUCCCGUGUUGCCACCUGGCCACAGACUACUCUACGUCACUCCAUGUUGUGUAAAACUUGGAUUUUAAGGCUGUGCCUUGCCCUGAGAGACUCCAUCUUACACAUAGCGUUCGACUCCAUUUUGAAUCUAAAUAACUAGGGCAUCUGCACCUUGAUGACCAUGCAAACAACACUGUCUGCCUGACACCACCUCAAGGCACAGACAGGUUAAAUAACCUGUUAUGAAAGUAAAAAAGGUGCUACUUCAUACAUUUGUCAAAGUAAAUUGACAAUCAUGCCAGAAAAGACAGGUCCAAGAAGUUACCAGACACAUCAGACCGAGGAACAGCAUGCUCACCUGGACCCAUAAAGAAGAGGACACGGUGCAUGACAAUGGCCUUACCUACCUGUCACCUGACCAUCACCACACACUGGUGUGUGUGUGUGUGUGUGUGUGUGUGUGUGUGUGUGUGUGUGUGUGUAGGAAACAACAGGCAGAGAACUUUCAACUGUCCCAGGGACUUCAGUUCAUCUUUGUAUUGCUGUUGAUGCUGGCAGUCCUGUUCUGUAGCUUGAACAACCCUUAGGCUUGGCUCAAUUCUGGCCAAGCAGCCUGAAUCUAUAAUUGGUCUUGGAGGAGUGUUAGUGUAUAUAGGGAGUGGAAGAUUCACUGAAGGUGAGAUCAGAUGAAGUCCCCGUGGGCACAUUAAAAUCAGAACAGAUUCUGGAGAGAUGGCUCAGUGGUUAAGAGCAACCAUUGCUCUUGUGAGGACUGGGGUUCAGUUCCCAGCACCCACAUGAUGGCUCACAACUAUCCAUAACUCCAGGUCUAGGGGUUCUGAUGCCCUCUUCUGGCCUCUGUGAGCGAUGCACAUGUACAUAGACACACAUGCAGGCAAAACACUUGUAUUCUUAAAUAUUAUUUUUAAAAAGAAAGAAUCCCAACAUAACUAACAACUCUUGCUGAAUCCCUUUCUUCUUUGCCAAUUAUAAAUUUUCUAGGUCUUUCACCUCUCUUGCCAUAAAUGGAAGUCUUCUAACUCCUUUGGGCAACCUUAUUUUUAUCUCAGGUUACAAUCUCACCCAAGGUUUGCUUAUAUUGUCACUUGGAGAGAUUCAUCCGCAGAACAAUUACAAGACUUAAUGCCUGUUGUUAAAAACCAUACUGCUCUGGAUGUGAUCAAGGACAGAACAGCUUCAGUAGAUAGAACAAAAAAUUUAAGAGAGACCAUAAAACAUGUAUUUUGGCAAAUUGCUAUGAAUGAUCAGAGACCAAAACUAAAAAUACAAAUAAAUGGCAUUGAAAUUAUAGGUUUAUUAAGACACAGGCACAGAUGUAAUAAUAAUUUCACCCAAAUCUUGGCAUCCAGAUUGGCCUCUUCAGGAGGUAAAUAUUCAAGUUCUAGGUAUUGGAACUUUAUCUCAGGUAAAACAAAGUACAAGAUGGGUUGAGCGUAUAGGGCCAGGACAGAUAGGAAAAUUAAAUCCAUAUAUGGAUGACAUACCAAUUUAUGGGGAGGAGAUGCCAUGCUGCCCAAGGAGUAACAUGCCAGAUUAUGGGUAAGCCACAGCCUCGUGGCGAUACACAGAUUAAUAGAAAUGGGUUAACAAUUAAGACAGCUAUCCAAUAAGAAGCCUAAGCCAUAAGCCAACAGUUUAAUAAUUAAUAUGUCUCUGAGUGCUUAUUUGGGACUGAAGGGUGGUGGGACCUGGCAGGACAGAAAC
RNAcentral lists this long non-coding RNA (3752 nucleotides) under Cricetulus griseus (Chinese hamster). RNAcentral's name for it is "lncRNA (ENSCGRG00015030114.1)". The record is from RNAcentral. Lineage: Eukaryota; Metazoa; Chordata; Mammalia; Rodentia; Cricetidae.